Unclassified non-coding RNA from Erinaceus europaeus (western European hedgehog), 309 nucleotides. Its record names the gene 7SK. It matches the Rfam family "7SK RNA". From Rfam's summary of the family: 7SK was discovered as an abundant small nuclear RNA in the mid-70s but a possible function has only recently been suggested. Two independent studies have found that 7SK RNA binds the CDK9/cyclin T complex (known as elongation factor P-TEFb). The record is from Ensembl. NCBI's taxonomy places the organism in Eukaryota, Metazoa, Chordata, Mammalia, Eulipotyphla, Erinaceidae.
GGAUGUGAGGGCGAUCUGGCUGCGACAUCUGUCACCCCAUUGAUCGCCAGGGUUGAUUCGGCUGAUCUGUCUGGCUAGGCAGGUGUCCCCUUCCUCCCUCACCACUCCAUAUGCGUCCCUCCCGAAGCUGCGUGCUCGGUUGAAGAGGACGGCCCUCCCUGAAUAGAGACGGACAGGUCUUUGGUCGAGGGUAUAUGAGUAGCUACGUUCCCCUGCUAGAACCUCCAAACAAGCUCUCAUAAAAUCCUGAAGGAAAAUCAUGAAGGAAAAUGAUAAAAAUCUUGGAACAUAAUUCCUGUCACAAAUGAA